Non-coding RNA from Pongo abelii (Sumatran orangutan), 307 nucleotides. Lineage: Eukaryota; Metazoa; Chordata; Mammalia; Primates; Hominidae. The record is from Rfam.
GCAUGCAAGGGUGAUCUGGCUGUGACAUCUGUCACCUUAUUGACCACCAGGAUUAAUUCAGCUGAUCUGGCUGGCUAGGCAGGUGUCCUCUUCCUCCCUCUGCACUCCAUGUGCAUCUCUCCCGAAGCUGUGCGCUCAGUCGAAGUGGAUGACCAUCUCCGACAGAGGAGGACUGGCCUUCGGUCAACGGCACAGAGUAGCUGAGCUCCCCUCCUAGAACCUCCAGACAAGCUCUCAAGAUUCAACAUAUUCGUUCAUGCAGUAGAGUUUUUUUUUUUUUCCUCUGGGCCAGACCCUGAAGAUAGAG